CCCGGUCCCCACGGAGAACACGGACGGCGCUCCGCGGGGGCCACUGGCACUCACGAAAGAGUUGGUCCUGAUCCAUGAAAGAUGCACCCUAAAGUUUUCAAGGCAUUAGAAAUUAGGUGGGUAACCUCAUGGAUAUGAGGAGAUACCUUCAAAUUGGUUGCAUAAUGGUGGGGCCAGGCCUCAAGGAGGUUUCUUAAAGAGGCGUUUUUAACGUUUAAGGAAACUGGAAGGAAAUUGGCUGUUGCACCUAUCAAAUGAUGCAAAUGUGACUUAUCUGGCUGAGAACAGAGAAUGUGUUGUGUUUAUAUUGCCAGUCAGCCUCUGGUUCAGCUUUGACUCCACUUUAAUUUUAUGCACUAGUCUUUUCUAUCAUAGCACACAGGCAUAAAAUAUAAAUUGGGCGGUUCUUGGAGUUUAUUUCAGUACAGUGUUUGAUAAACAUGCAUCCUGCAAACUUUAACGGUGUGGUGUGGGCUGACCUUGGCUGGAUGCCAGGCACCCACCAAAGCUGAUCUGUCAUCUGCCUUCGCAGCUGGACAGGGAAGAGAAAAUGUAGUAAAGUUAAUGAGUUGAGAUAAGGACCAGGGGAGGUCACUCAAGAAAUACCUAAGGGCAAACAGACUUGAAUUUGGGAUAUUAAUUUUUUACCAACAAAAUCAGGGCCAGGAUAAUGAGAAGUAAAAUAGAUCUUAAAACUACAUUCCCCCUACCUCUUUCUUCUUCCAAAGCUCUACCUCCUUUUCCCCCAGCAGGGAAGGGAAAUGGGAAUGGUUAUGAUCAAUUCAUCACAGAGUUUUCCUCACACUGCUCAGGAUGAGGAAUCCUUCCUGCAGGAGACAGUUCUUGAUUAACAUCUCCUGCAUGAGUUCAUGCCACAGGCAACAGUUCUGCACAAAAUGCUGCAAGGUGGGUGACACCAGAGAUAGAGUGCAGUCCUUCAGGCACAGCCUGCGUCAGUGUGGGUCCCCCAAAGGGUCACAGGUCCUACAGAACCUGCUCAUGCCAUGGGUCUGCAGGUCCCUGCCAGGUGCCUGUUCCAGCAGGGGCCUCCCAUGGACUCACAGCCUCCUCUGAGGGAUCCACCUGCUCCAGCCUGGGUGUCCUCUGUGGGCUGCAGGGGAACCUUGGCUUUGGUGCCUGGAGCACCUCCUGCCCCUUCUUCUCCACUAACCUUGGUGUCAGAGUUGUUCCUCUCAUGUGUUCUCACCCUGCUUUUCUCUGCCUGCAGUUACACCUGCACAAAAAACCUUUUUUUUUUUCCUUCUCAAAUAAGUUAUCACAGAGAUGUUCCCAUCAUUCCUGAUGGGCUCAGCCUUGGCCAGCAGUGGGUCCAUCCUGGAGCUGGCAUUGGCUCUGCUGGAUGUGGAGGAAGCUUCCAGCAGCUUCUCACCGAAGCCACUCCUGUAGCCCCCCCUGCUACCAUGACCUACCUGCAUAAACCCAACACACCCUGAUACUGAGAACAGCAGGGGAGCAAUAAUACUUUGAAACUUUAUUUUAAUUCCAUUAAGGUAAUAGUAAAACUUUUGUAGACUCAGCCCAGACGUGGGUUUCAGGAAGGCAUCCUAAAAUACUGACCUUCACAAGGUUUUCUGAGCUUGACCAUACAGGUGAUGUUAAUGUAAAAUAGCCUUAAGGAAAUAUUUUUGCCAGGAUGGAAGAGGCUAAGGGAAAAACAGAGAAGGAUAAUGGUUAGUUCAUUAUCAAUAGCAAGGUAACUCUAGUAUAAAUAAGUAAAAAUGGGACAAUUUGUUUCUUUGUCCUUAUGUUUGAAUUUAAGACUGAAUUGCUUUGAAACAGUGGAACAUGUUUCCCAAAGAGAUAGUGAAGCCUGGAUUUGGAGAUAUUCAAACCCCAAUUGGACACAGCCUUAAGCAACCUGUUGUAGGUGGCCCUGCUCUGAGCAGGAGGGCUGGGGAAGACAGUCUGCAGAAACACCUUCCAGCUUGAACAAUUCUGUGAUUUCUAAGCCAGUUUUCCAACAAACAUAAAGUGCUUAGAAAAUUCCAGUGAACAGCACAAUAUGCUCUAGGGUCCUUGGUUCGAAGGACAUUUUAUUCAAUUUCUUGUUCACCUAGGCAAUGGAAAUCCAGAAUGCAGGGCAUGUUGCACUCAAAGAUUCAGCAUAGCCAGUUGUCAUGUUAUUGCAGGGGAAGAGCUUCAGAAAACUAGAAUGCCAUUAAAAGGCAAAUGGCUGGAUGUUUUGCAGUCUUCUUUGCAAACUUAUUUGCUAACUUCUUGACUGGCUGGCCAUUCAUCCUGUCUGUAUGUAACUGUUUCACAUUUACCCCCUUGUUCUUCACCACUCAGGAGCAAGAUACUAGCAUAUUUUGAAUGUUUUGUGUAAUUUUUGUCUUGAUGGAGCCAUUACCUCAGUGUUUUCUCAACCACUCUGGUUUCCAAUAGGCCACAGGCACCCUGGUGUGAUCAGAAACAGGGUGACUCCCAUGGGUGCAGCUGCCAGGAAGGAAGCCGUGUGUGCAGCUGAUAUUCACAGCCCUUUCUGCUCCCACAGCCAGCAGAGGUACCCUAGGGCAGAGCGUACUUGGGAACUGCAGGUACCAUGGCUGUGCUGGCACCACUUUGGAACAACAUAGGUUAACUUACCUGCAGAAAUGUUUUUGUAACAUUUUCUGGAAUUCAGUAGGCAAAGGCUAAAACUACGUUGUAAGUAAUAGGAUUUCUGACCUUCACUGGUGGUUAGGUUGUGUCACAUUUGCUACAGCAGAGAGAGAAUAUAGCUUGUAUAGAAAAGUUUAUAGCUCAGUUGUUCUCAGUGAAUAGAGCUCUUGCAGUCCAACUCUAAUUUUACUUGUGAUCUACUGUUCCUUUGUAUUUUUCCCUAGAGUUUAUUUUGGUGUCACUCAGAAGUAGGUACUGUGCUAUAUCUUUUUCCUCACAAAAGCAAAUGAAGUCAGUGGCUUUUGCUCAGUGUCCUCUUAAAGUCGUACUUGAAUGUAGCAGUCAUGGAGUUAGUUCUGGAGAUACCUGCUGCUAAUUUAAUAAUUGGACAUUUAUUUAUCACAAUGGCUCUUACAAUGUUGUGAUCAGGUUCCAGCUUGGUCAUCUUAAAAGGAGUUACUUUGUCAAGUAAUGAAAAAUGGGUUGCAGCUCUAAGUAUGGCUGAUGUUUUUAUCCAUCUUGCUGAUAAUUUUCUUGUCAAUAAAUGAUAAAAAUCCAUAAUGAGCCAUUUUCAGUCACAGUUCCUUCCUUUUUAUCUUGUGUGUUAAUUAGAUCCUUUUCCAGGCACUGGCAACAUGCAUAGCAAACACCAUUGUGCUGAGUAACUGUUCCACAUUUCUCAAACUGUACCUCCUCUAUUGCCAAGCUCCAGGUUGUAAGAGAGUAAUUUGAGUUUUGUCAGCUUUCUGGUGACUGAUUUGAAGGUCUUAAGUAGACAUGUGUUUGCUUCUUCAUCUGUGAAAUAGAUGAAAUAGAGUUAUUUCACCAUCCAGUUACCUGAUCAUGUUUCAGUAACCAUUUUUUGACCUUGACAAACCCCUCAGUUGGUGUUGAGGGUUCAUUGUGAGCUGGCUACGUCACUGUACAGUAAACAUGAGCCUGCUGAAGUUAUCUUUUCAUGUUUUUCCUAUUCAACCACAUGAUGAAGGUUGGGUAGGAAAGAAAGUGAAGGGGGAUUGUUCUAAUUUCUCCCAGAACAGUCCUGUGUUAAUAUAUUCUCAUGGAAAUUCUGGAAUAAUUUUUCUGUCUUGUAGCUUCUAUUUGAAACUUGUCUAUAAAAAGGAAAUACUGCAAUUUUACCCAAAGAUCUAAUGUUCCAUAAUAUUCUCUUUUGAUUAUUAGUUUUAUUGCAAGUGCACCAAUAUUUACCUGCAGUCACUGGACUAAAAAGGAAGGAGUAAGGAGGGUUGACAAGAUUGCUCCUAGCAGUGGUAUAAAAGUCUGCUUCAUGACUGUAGUACUGCUGACUUUCACACACAGUGUAUUCAGGACAGUUACAUUGAAAAGGAAUCCUUGUAAAAAUAUGUUCCAAAAUGAAGGAAGUAUGAGGGAUAAGCAGUCUUUCUAUUGAUAGUCUAAUCUGUAGGUCCAGAUAACCCUGCAGACUUAAAAUUGAGUGCAGCAAAGGAGAAGCUGUCAGUGCAAAAGUCUGUAAGACCUCAUAAAGUGUUUCUGGUCACUUAUCAGUAGGAAAUGCCUAGUGAGAAGUAAAAGUAUAGGGAAAUGUGGAGUUGUGUGCUUUAAAAUGCACUCCUGCCUGCCUUUGUCAGCAGAGGAGGUAGCUGGUUCAUUAUAACAAUAAAUCUUAAAAGGCUUGAGCCACUUCAGGAAGGGUGAUACCAGCCAGUGCCCAUUUGUCUGAGUUGGGUAGUAAGCUGGCUGUCAUGUUCAAGUUCUUCUAAAAUAAUUGAAAAGAAACAUGGGAUUUCUUUAAUAAGGAACAAAAGGGUAGAAAUGUAACCAGUGCCAGUAAGUGUGGCUUAGGGAAAAAUGAUCUUGGCAGACACACCAAACUUCACUACUUGAGUAGGUGAGAAGCUCCAGCACAAUUUAAUUGUGCAGGUGGAGCAGACUUGGGUAAGGUGCUUCAAACUCCACACACCUAAAGCCUCCCUUACUUUCAGUAUCAUACAUUAUGUGGCUUAAAAGCUGAUGGACUGAGAGUGGUGAAGAAAUACAUAACAUGGCAGAAAUCACCUAACAAUUGGAUUGUUCAAAGAGGUGGAACCUUAGGUAUGGCCCAACACUUCCAUCAUGGUGUAGAAGUCAUCAUAGAGUCAUUCCUGUCUUUAUUUGUGACUGUGACAAAGUUGCUGGAAUAAGUACAUAGAAAUGAUAAGGAAAAGACAAUAAUGCAGAAACAUCACCCAGACUGGAUUACUUUGUAAGUUGAACCACUUAAAUAAGUUAUGUCCUAAUCUGUCCAAGUGCAAAAUUAAGUGUCUAGGAUUAAUGAAUGCAAAUCAUGUACCUAGAGGAUAUUUCUGAAUCCUGGAAAGUGGAAACUUUAGAAAAGUUAGAAGAAUGCUGUCACAAGUCACCUCAAAAACAGCCUGAUGUAGAUGUGGGACAAAAAGGUCUGGUGCUGUUUGGGGAUGCUCAGAGUGGAGUAGUAGUAGAAAUAAGGUGAAUUUGUAUCUGCUGGGUCGUGUUUUUUUUAAAUAGACCAAAAACUGGAGAGCCCACAAAGAAUUGUAGAAGAAUUUGGAUGCUUAAAAACUCUUUAGCUGUUUAAUACCAAAAAGAACAAAAAAAAAAGUAGACAUGUAUCGUGUAGUACUUUCCCAGUUAUAGGAAUUCAGUCUAAAGAGAGACGUGGAUAGCUGGAGUUUAAACAAGAUAGAUUUGAGCAAAAAAAAAAAAAAUAGACUUGGCUUCCUAAAUGAUAAAGGGUGGUGAUCAACCACAAGUAAAGCAGUGGACGGGGUGGAUCUUCCUCCCCUUGAUGCCAGAUUGGAUGGCACUUCCUGGCAUUUCUGCGGAAAUCCUCUGGUUCACAAAGGAGUGAGUGAAAUUUAAUGGCUUAUGCCAUAAAGAAACUGAUGUUAGGCCAUCUUUUAGAAUCCUCCCCUGCCCUUUCACAGGUGGAAGCAGGUAGAGGUAUCUAGAAGAAUAUAGUUUCUUGGAGUCCUGGUUUUUAGUAGACUGAUGUUUUCUAUCUAAGAAUAAUUUCAAAUAAUUUUUUUGCUCUGUCAAGACGUGCCCAGGCCUAGUUACUCUUAGGAGACAGUAGAUUUUCUUGUCCAUUUUGUAGUUUUUGUAGCGCUGUUUAGAAUUUCUCAAGAGUUGUCCAGACAUAAUAAUUUGUGUUUGUAAGUCAAAUUACUGUAAUUACACAAUACAGACCUCUGAGGACAGUGGGUUCUGUAGAGUCCUGUAGUGUACAUGCUGAGGUGCCUGCUCUCAGACAGCAAUGCCUGUUUGUCCCUCUUUUUCGUUCUCAGACAUUACAGAAUUGAUAUUGCAGAUAUUGCCAAGCCUUUAAUGGCUGACUGACACCCCAUUCCUGGUUGGUUUUGCUGCUGGUUUAAGAAAAGAACUUUCUAUGGCCACCACAAGCACAUAUUGCCGUUACUGAUCCUUCAUUAUCUCUUAGCAACCAUUUGGUCUUUCACAAAAAAUGUCCCAGGCUAGAUGGUCUCAAGAGUUUCCAUGCAAGACCAUUGAAGAAUGGGCUGUGACCCACAGAAGGAAAUGCAGCAGGAAUUAUUGAGUCACAGCCUCUGUGCCUAAAAUGGGUCUGAAAAGAAAGUUCCUUAAUUCCUCUCACCUGGGGCAAAAUUCAUGGUGAGAAAAGAGUUGCUGGAACCUCCCAAAGCAGCUCUGGUUGUUGCUGUCUGCUGUGACAGAGGCAUGUGGCCAUGCAUAAAAUCUCAGUGGAUGAACCCCUUGAAAUGCCCUACAGAAAAGUGAAGACAGGCCAAGUUAUCUGGAAUUUUACCCAUGGUAUGAAGUGUUGCACCAUGUUAUGGCCAAGGAACCAAAAUUAUGGAAUUAAGCAAAAUCACAGCAUAGGAGAGGCACAAAAGGACAUGAGGUGCUCCAAGCUGUGAAGCAAUGUUAUGAGGAGUCAAGGCUGGACUUGGCAUUCACGCUGGACAAGGGAAUGAGAGGCACAUGUGAUUGAUCUUUCUGGUGGGUAGGAGAUGCCAAGUCUAUAAAACUGCCCAGGUCUCAAUCAGUGGAUGUGAUCCAUAGGCACCGAGUGGCAAGUGCUUAAUAACCUUGCAUUCCUCUCCCAUGGCACUGUUCACAGAGUCACAGAAUGGUUUGGGUUGGAAGAGCUGUUAAAGAUCGUCUAGAUGCAACCCUCUGCACCAGGUUGUUUGUCAUUAUUGGUGGCGAGCUGCUCACAAGUAGAGGCUUCCCUGUUCCCCAGCCUUCUCUGUUAUUUGCCUCAUUGAAGGCACAGAACUCCAGGACAGUCACCUGCCAUGUCCCCUGCUGCUGGAGCUGCCAGUCUUGGGUUUGCUGCAGGACCUGCUGCCAGUAGGCAGUGUCCUCACCAUGGAGCCAGCCCUGGGUUUGCUGCCAGCAGGCAGUGUCCUCACCAUGGAGCCAGCCCUGGGUUUGCUGCCAGCAGGCAGUGUCCUCACCACAGAGCCAGCCCUGGGUUUGGUGCCAGUGUCCUCACCAUGGAGCUCGGGCAUGAGCCUGCUGCAGCUUGCUGUGCUGCCCAUCACCAUCCCCUGGGAGCCUGUGAAGAGGAUCUGACCCAUCCAUCUGCACUUCUCCAGUUACUGUGGGUGCUCCCUGAGAGAGCUGAAGACAGAACUGGCUUGGUGUUGGCAGGAAGCUUCAUACAGUUUGUGGGAAGCAAGGCUUGGAGAGGGGCCCAGGCUGUCCCAGUGCCUGUGUUUGGGGUAGCAUCUGGCCUGAUGUCUGCCAGAACAAAUGGCUGGCCACUGAGACAGGCACGUUACAGCCAACACUGCACAUGCAGACAAAGCCACCAACUCGCUUCAGCCCAGGAUGCUUGGGGACAAAAGUGCCAAAUGCACUUGUCUCCAAUUCUAGGGUGAAUUUACACAACCAGAGCUGGGAUGUGCACUGAACUGCCCGUGCACACAGGCAGCCACAAUGCCUGGGAGCCAAAGGCUUGAGGGCAAAGAAAGAUGAAUGCAGCUGUAAGAAAUACUUUAUUUGAUGACAAAACUAGUUGCAACAAAUAAGUAAUGAAACAAAGAUUGACCUUUACAAUUGUGUGUCAGUACACACAAUUCUUUUGAAGACAUUUACAUUAAAAAUGCUCAUUAAAUAAAGAAAAAUAUCUUUCAAAGAAGGUUUUUAUGGCAUUAUAAGAAUUUUACCAAGCCUCAGCAUAGACAUUGCUGGGAUCUGUGUAACCCUGAAAAAUAAGGUAUUGGAGGAAUAUCUGUGAAACAAGUAUGGCAAUAUUCUUUUGGAGAAAUUUCUUCAUGAUAAGGCUGAAAUACUGGAUAGCAAAGGAGUAGGAAAUACACAAA
Molecule: non-coding RNA, 7928 nt
Organism: Zonotrichia albicollis (white-throated sparrow)
Lineage: Eukaryota; Metazoa; Chordata; Aves; Passeriformes; Passerellidae
Source: RefSeq, a predicted model, not a curated record